GACGAACGCUGGCGGCGUGCUUAACACAUGCAAGUCGAACGGAAAGGCCCUGCUUUUGUGGGGUGCUCGAGUGGCGAACGGGUGAGUAACACGUGAGUAACCUGCCCUUGACUUUGGGAUAACUUCAGGAAACUGGGGCUAAUACCGGAUAGGAGCUCCUGCUGCAUGGUGGGGGUUGGAAAGUUUCGGCGGUUGGGGAUGGACUCGCGGCUUAUCAGCUUGUUGGUGGGGUAGUGGCUUACCAAGGCUUUGACGGGUAGCCGGCCUGAGAGGGUGACCGGCCACAUUGGGACUGAGAUACGGCCCAGACGCCUGGGAGGCAGCAGUGGGGAAUAUUGCACAAUGGGCGGAAGCCUGAUGCAGCAACGCCGCGUGCGGGAUGACGGCCUUCGGGUUGUAAACCGCUUUCGCCUGUGACGAAGCGUGAGUGACGGUAAUGGGUAAAGAAGCACCGGCUAACUACGUG
Molecule: ribosomal RNA, 466 nt
Filed under: uncultured bacterium
Lineage: Bacteria
Description: partial 16S ribosomal RNA
Rfam family: Bacterial small subunit ribosomal RNA
Source: RNAcentral